This 73-nucleotide transfer RNA is filed under the name Apteryx owenii (little spotted kiwi). RNAcentral describes it as "tRNA-Val". Lineage: Eukaryota; Metazoa; Chordata; Aves; Apterygiformes; Apterygidae. The record is from RNAcentral.
CAAGACGUAGCUACAAACCCAAAGCAUUCAGCUUACACCUGAAAGAUGUCUACUAGAUCAUAGACCGUCUUGA